Non-coding RNA from Paramuricea clavata, 291 nucleotides. The record is from the annotation of a GenBank genome assembly. Lineage: Eukaryota; Metazoa; Cnidaria; Anthozoa; Malacalcyonacea; Plexauridae.
CCACGCUUAUGUCUUUAAAACCUUCGUUUUCGAGAAUACGUAUAUGACUGCCAUUUUCAGCGGUGCUCCAUAGUAAAGUUCUCCCGAUGUUACGUUAAUCUCUGUUGCAAGUUGUCCAAGGCUAAAGCUUCCAACAGUUAGAACAAUAUUGUUACCAAAAUGUUCCUCAAAUUUCUGGCGGAUCAAAGCAGUCAACUUUUCGUCACCACACACCCUCAUCACAUUUACUUCCACUACCGUUACUUCCAAGUGUCCUGCCCUGACAACGAUCCUGUCCUGUCCUGAAAUUUU